CCCCCCCCUUGCUCCGGGGCGGCGUGGUGGGGGUGACGGAGGACAGCGCCUCGCCUCGGCCGGCGCCUAGCAGCUGACUUAGAACUGGUGCGGACCAGGAUCAUUU
Nanorana parkeri is the source of this 106-nucleotide long non-coding RNA. RefSeq lists it as uncharacterized. The record is from RefSeq and is a predicted model, not a curated record. The transcript has 4 exons. Lineage: Eukaryota; Metazoa; Chordata; Amphibia; Anura; Dicroglossidae.